RNAcentral lists this ribosomal RNA (1616 nucleotides) under Marinobacter adhaerens. Its description in RNAcentral is "partial 23S ribosomal RNA". It matches the Rfam family "Bacterial large subunit ribosomal RNA", at positions 587 to 2188 of the family's 2925-position model. Lineage: Bacteria; Pseudomonadati; Pseudomonadota; Gammaproteobacteria; Pseudomonadales; Marinobacteraceae. The record is from RNAcentral.
UGUUGGGUGACGGCGUACCUUUUGUAUAAUGGGUCAGCGACUUAUGUUCAGUGGCGAGGUUAACCGUUUAGGGGAGCCGUAGGGAAACCGAGUCUGAAUAAGGCGAAUCAGUCGCUGGGCAUAGACCCGAAACCGGGCGAUCUAUCCAUGAGCAGGUUGAAGGUUGAGUAACAUCAACUGGAGGACCGAACCCACUGUCGUUGAAAAGCCAGGGGAUGACUUGUGGAUCGGAGUGAAAGGCUAAUCAAGCCCGGAGAUAGCUGGUUCUCCCCGAAAGCUAUUUAGGUAGCGCCUCGGAUGAAUACCACAGGGGGUAGAGCACUGUCUCGGCUAGGGGGUCAUCCCGACUUACCAACCCGAUGCAAACUCCGAAUACCUGUGAGUACUAUCCGGGAGACACACGAUGGGUGCUAACGUCCGUCGUGGAGAGGGAAACAACCCAGACCGCCAGCUAAGGUCCCCAAGUACCAGUUAAGUGGGAAACGAUGUGGGAAGGCUUAGACAGCUAGGAGGUUGGCUUAGAAGCAGCCAUCCUUUAAAGAAAGCGUAAUAGCUCACUAGUCGAGUCGGCCUGCGCGGAAGAUGUAACGGGGCUCAAACUGGUCACCGAAGCUGCGGCUGCAUACAUUGUAUGCGGGGUAGGGGAGCGUUCUGUAAGCCUGCGAAGGUGUGUUGAGAAGCAUGCUGGAGGUAUCAGAAGUGCGAAUGCUGACAUGAGUAACGAUAAUGCGGGUGAAAAACCCGCACGCCGGAAGACCAAGGGUUCCUGCGCAACGCUAAUCGGCGCAGGGUGAGUCGGCCCCUAAGGUGAGACCGAAAGGUGUAAUCGAUGGGAAACGGGUUAAUAUUCCCGUACCUUGGAUAGCUGCGAUGGAGAGACGGAGAAGGCUAGGUGAGCCGGGCGACGGUUGUCCCGGUUUAAGCGAGUAGGGAGUGGGUUUAGGCAAAUCCGGAUCCACAAUCCCGAGACGCGACGACGAGUGCCCAUUGGGGCGCGAAGUCAUUGAUGCCCUGCUUCCAGGAAAAACUUCUAAGCUUCAGGCUAUUCGAGUCCGUACCCCAAACCGACACAGGUGGUCAGGUUGAGAAUACCAAGGCGCUUGAGAGAACUCGGGUAAAGGAACUAGGCAAAAUGGUGCCGUAACUUCGGGAGAAGGCACGCCGGUGGUAUGUGAAGCCCCUGCGGGUGGAGCAGAAGCCGGUCGAAGAUACCAGGCCCCUACGACUGUUUAUUAAAAACACAGCACUGUGCAAACACGAAAGUGGACGUAUACGGUGUGACGCCUGCCCGGUGCCGGAAGGUUAAUUGAUGGGGUUAGUCCUCGGACGAAGCUCUUGAUCGAAGCCCCGGUAAACGGCGGCCGUAACUAUAACGGUCCUAAGGUAGCGAAAUUCCUUGUCGGGUAAGUUCCGACCUGCACGAAUGGCGUAACGAUGGGGGCGCUGUCUCUACCCGAGACUCAGUGAAAUUGAAACCGCCGUGAAGAUGCGGUGUAUCCGCGGCUAGACGGAAAGACCCCGUGAACCUUUACUAUAGCUUCACAGUGAACUUUGAAUAUGCUUGUGUAGGAUAGCUGGGAGGCUUUGAAACCGGGACGCCAGUUCCGGUGGAGCCA